This 1004-nucleotide long non-coding RNA is filed under the name Toxoplasma gondii VEG. Lineage: Eukaryota; Apicomplexa; Conoidasida; Eucoccidiorida; Sarcocystidae. The record is from RNAcentral.
AACUCCCCCAGCCUUUUCUUGUGCACUCCUGAGAUGCAGCGACAAUUGUGUCAGCUCUCCACAAAUGCAAUGAACUGCCAUUUGCAGAUUUGUGCGUCGGCCGGUGCCGUCACUCUUGUUCUCCAGACGGUACGUUUCAUUGUCCAACAUCCGCUGCAAGCAUGGAUCGUUUCUGUACCACAGAUCCUGGAGAUACUGUUCUUUGGUUGCCUACUGUGUUUGUCUGCAGCUGGUAAGUGGAACACGUGCGCGUUACGUCCGUCCCAGCUGCUUGUUGAUGGCUAUGUGCACGCGUGGGACUGAAUUGUGCGUCAAGCCUGCAACUGCAAGGGAAGAGACGGAGACCACAAACUCCAUAAAGCGGUUGGGCCUGUCUGGCGUCUGCUUACAGCUGGAUAGAGCUGACGGCAACUUGCUGCAAGUGACCAAUGUAGAGACACCGUAAAACGUUUUCGCUGGCAGGAGGCCAGGGCUAUUUUCGAAAAGCCCAUGAAUUCGAGGUCGUCCGUUCUCUGCAUGGAGGCCUGGUGCGACUCGUCUUCUCGUCUUCUAUGUAGCUGUUCGUGGAAGUCCCAGGUAGGAAUCCGACACAGUCUACUCUUUCGGGUGUGCGGCCGCAAUAUAGAUUGCGUAUAUGUGAUAUGCCUAGCAAUAUCUUGUUUUGGAAUCAAUGCACUUUUCUCGGUGGUGGCACGUCAGUUGAUUGAAAGGGCAGAUGCCAUGUUUUGAAUGAAUCUGUCAUUCGAUACUACAUACCUUGCUGACUGCACGUUCCUCGUGCACUUACGCUUUCUGUAACGAUGCAGCUGGGUUUCUAACAGGAAUUGUUUUGAUUUUGCCUUGAGCUCUAUCAUCGCAGACAUGUUGGCGACACCAUUCUUGGCAGCACAUGACCUAGAUUGCCCGCAAUGGUGCAACAACGCCCACAAGCACAUCCUGAGAGAGGUUGGUCUUCAUGCAAAUGACCAUGAAGACAACUCUCUUUUCUCCGAUGUCAACUGGCU